GAGGGUGCAAGCGUUAUCCGGAUUUAUUGGGUUUAAAGGGUGCGUAGGCUGUGUCUUAAGUCAGCGGUGAAAUGUCAGGGCUCAACCUUGAGACUGCCGUUGAUACUGGGAUGCUGGAGUACGGAUGCCGCCGGAGGAAUGUGUGGUGUAGCGGUGAAAUGCAUAGAUAUCACACAGAACACCGAUUGCGAAGGCAUCUGGCGAAUCCGUAACUGACGCUGAAGCACGAAAGCGCGGGUAUCAAA
RNAcentral lists this ribosomal RNA (245 nucleotides) under uncultured bacterium. RNAcentral's name for it is "partial 16S ribosomal RNA". It matches the Rfam family "Bacterial small subunit ribosomal RNA", at positions 528 to 772 of the family's 1533-position model. The record is from RNAcentral.